This is a long non-coding RNA of Mus musculus (house mouse), 7258 nucleotides long. RefSeq annotates it as predicted gene, 38903. The transcript has 2 exons. NCBI's taxonomy places the organism in Eukaryota, Metazoa, Chordata, Mammalia, Rodentia, Muridae. The record is from RefSeq and is a predicted model, not a curated record.
CUCCCCCCAUCUCAAUAUCUCUCUCUCUCUGCUAAAAUAGAAGACCUGAUGUGAAUAAUUUAAAGUCCAUCCCUUUCCUUUCUUGGUUCUUACACCAAGCCGAUCACUGCGACCAUGUCCAAAAGGAUAAGCUAUUCCUGUCCCUGAGGACUGUUGCCUUCUUAGGAAAGUGACCUUUAGGGUCUGCAGACAGGCCAGGACAAAGGGUCCAGGAGGGAGAGAUAUCCAGCCUUGGUGCAAGCAGGCCAGCCGCUCGCUAGACUCUUCCUGGGGACACUUGAGGACGCUCCCACCCCCACCACAACCCAACUUGGAUGCUCAUCAUUCCAGUGCCCAGCUUUGAUCUUUUUCCCUUUUCUCUUUGGGGACCACUGUGUGGAGAGCUGGACUCACUGUGCUUCUUCUCCUGCUGCCUCCAUCUGAUUAAAGAUUUCAAAAGGGAAGUGAACACCAAGGGGGGAGAUGAAUAAAGGCAAGGCAGCCACCUCCACAAAGCUGAAUACAUCUAAAGCAAAUGAUCAUCUCUCUACACCAAAACUGGGCUUCAACGCUGCCUAUGUUAGCCCAAGAAAGCAGUGAGAGAACACAGGUGACCCUCAGCAAGCUACUUCACUCAAGAGCCCACCCCCAUCUGGAUGCCAACUUAAAACUUGAGUCCUUGAGCUUCCGAUAACUUGCAGACAGCUCCGCCAAAGAAACUCCUCUCCUUCACAAAUGCUAUUUUUAUAACCUCAGGGUACGACCUGAUGCAUCUUGAGUCUCCUGAUCCCUGUAAGCUCCCUGCGCUUCCGGACUCUUAUGAGUCAGCUUGCCCCUUUAGGAGGGAAGGCUUCAAUUUGGAGGAAGUAGCUACACAAAAGGGAAAGAUUGCCUUCCUUUGGAGACACGGCAGUGGGCCUUGGGGCUGAGGGCUUCCUCUACCUUGGGACCAGAAGAGGAGCGGUGGUGGUAUUAGAUGUCUGGCUGUGUCCCCUUCAUGGUUUGUACUGGACUUGUCUGUGGGAAAGCUUUCAUGUUGACUGUCCAUGGUCACUGCCCUAAUUAACACUGAGGUUCUAGGGACACUUCAGUCAGGUGAAAUGUAACACCCCAGAAGCUAGAGGGCUGAGCGUUGGCAUCCCCCCAUGGUAACUGACUGAAACACAUAGGUUUCCAGCAGCAGCCAGCAGCCUUAGCCCCUCUAGAUGUGACAAGCACACAUACCUCACUUAGCCCACCACAGAACAGAGCAUGGGACAUCCCAAGGGCAGGCUGGUCCUAAAGCAAGGACACAAGACCCGCUCACCAAGCAGAGAACCCUGCACCAAGCAGGAUGCACUAGGGAGGAAGGAGGACUUCUGACUCUUUCAGGCCAGGAGAGCAUGUUGGACAAAUACCUCCCUCUCACUCUGCUUGCAUUUAAUGCCCAAGACCCAAAGGGUAGUAUCUUCACCCUAGUCACAGAGGCAAACCAAGCCACCUUCUGUGCCACUACCUUCCAAACCAGGACCACCUUUCUCUACCUGGUCAUUGCCACCUCCAGCAGCAUGCUUGAUAAAUGCAGUUGUCUGGUUGGUUGGUUGGUUGGUUGGUUGGUAGGUUGGUUGGUUGAUAGGUUGGUUGGUUGGUUGGUUGGUUGGUUGGUUGGUUGGUUUUUUGUUUACAGCCAGUUAACUUCCUCCAUCACCCCUCACCUCCACACUUCUGCAGCCAGUGCUGCAUCACACAUGGAAGGCUGGAUGCUCAGCCGUCAACCUCAACAAGGGGUUUACACUCCCCACAGAUGCUUUCUCCUCCAAGGGCUUUGACGUUUCCCAACCCCCAGGCUAUCUGUUCCCUGGAGCCUGACGUCUCCUCUCUUGAUCCUGGUAGAAAUGUCUCCUUCUCGGUUCCCCUUUCUCCAUUACUCUUUUCCUAGAAUUCUCACCACUAGCAACCACGCUGUAGCCCCAUCCUGGACCCCUGCCACCAUGCCCUGCCCUCAUUACAGGUUUCUCUAUCUCCCUGUUAGCCUGUGAGAAAAUGGGAAAGCCCAGACCCUUCCAGGGGUUCUCAGGCAGGUUAGUCAGGUCCUCAUCCAUAAAUCUAUCAGCAGGAGGAUCCUCGAGAUUCCUGGGCUAUGUGCACCACUCCAUCCCCUCCAUGGGGAGCCUGCUUCUCUCUCUGCACCCAGCCGCAGGCCCUGUACCCAUUCUGGAUCGUGUUGUCACUCAGCCCAUUCAGAUGGAACUCCGGGAAGUCCCGACAUGAAACUUGGUAGGCACCUGUCUUUGGCUGGUCUCACAGGGACUAUGUUUUGCUUCCAUGGUGCCUGGACACAGGCAAAGUGGUCCUCUUGGGCCCCAGCAGUUAGCCCUGCACUCUGGAUGACCUCUGCACUUCUGGAAUACCUCCUUCCUCCUCAGGACCUGCUAGCUCCCUCGCUGCACUGUCUCAGCUACCUUCAUGCCAGUUCUGGUGCUGUCUCUGCCCAGCCCCCCUCCCAGCCACCCCCCAGCAGAGACUGGCACCACCUCCCAGCUCUCAGGUGGGAUGGCUAAGGCCCAGCAUCUAGCUAGGUAAGGCUGUGGCCCGCUGACCCAGUCUGUGAGCACUGGACUGGCGCCAGGAGGACUAGAGGUCACCUUUGACCUUCCAGCAGUGACAUCUUGUUAGAGGAAUGACUUGAUGCUCCCAAGUCUACAUCCUCUCUCUUCUGCAAAUAGCCAAGUGCCUCCAGCUGGUGGGUAAUUGUCAGAAAAUAAUUUGCCCCAAGGUCACUUGCUGCUUAAACAGCUGGCUCUGUCUUUUCCGGUUUGGCUUGGUCUGAAGUCCCUGGUCCUCCCCCAUUCCCUGCUGCUGUCAUCUUUCACACUCAGCUGCUGAGAUUUUCAGUGGGGGAGGAAGGGCUUCUCACUGCCGGUUAACUUUGGCCACGUCUUGAGUCUGCUUUUUCUUCAAGACUAUUCUGAGCAUAGCCUCAUAUCUCCAUGAGUCCCGGCCCUCCUGGACCAGCACCUUAACGGUUAUGUGGUGGUCUGCUGGCAAGCCUUGCAAACUGAUUUUGUUUUUGCUUUUAAAUCUCAUGUGCAGAAUGGUGAGGGGGACCAAGGAGGAGCACUUUGGUAAAGCUUCCUUGUUUGUGGCAGAGUCCACACAGCAGCGCAAGUCUGAGAUGGCAAUUUUAUAAAAGUCUUAAAACUGACCUCAAAGAUAGCAAAAUAGAUGCCGAGCUGCCGCCCUGCGUCAUUUGCCCCUGCGUAUCUGACCUAGAAAUUACCAGGCACUUGGCUUGCCCCAGUGUGGGGUGAGUCCAUCUGAAGACUGUUUCUAAUUAACUGCCCUAAUGUCCUAGGGAGACGUAUUUCUACAUGUUUCCUGCAGAGCCUCUCAUUAUAAAAUACACUGGUUUCGUUCAGAGACUACUGUGCAGUCCCAGAGUCCUCGCAGCUCUGUCAUUUUAAAAAGUAUCUAACUUUUUUUUGAGUUAAAACUGUUCUAUUAAAGAAUUAUCGGGGGUGGGGGGAGGUGGGGAGAUGGUUCUAAGAAAUAAAGACCUCGCUGUGCAAACAUGAGGAUGGGGGUUCGAUUCCCCCAGAUCCAUGCAAAUGCCACAUCUAUGCAAUUCCCAUGGCAACACACCUCUUCCCCAGGUCACCAAGAGCGAGAACAUAUGGAAGAAACAAUUCCACCCGAGUCCACCUUGGCGGAGCAAUGAGUUUAUUGGUGUUUGUCACAGGAGCGUAGGGGACCAAAAAGCAGCUUUCUGCCUGGAAAGCUCACUCCAGUACAGAUGAGGCUGAAUCCCUGGCACUCCACGCACAUCUUGCAGCCAGCUCCACCCAAAUGUUCCCCUGUCCAGCAGUUGCUUCCUGCUUAUGUAACCUUGGGCAGAGGCCUAUGACUCUUGUUGCUUUUUGUGUCCUGAGAGGAUGCUUCCCUUUGAAGGAAGUAGUUACACAACCCUAGGCAUCACUCCAGCCUCCUGACCCUUGCUCAGGUCACACUGAGUAGUGCAGAUGUGUCCUCCCAGACAGGCAGAGUCAAAUCCUUCUAAUGCUUGUGUUCCUGGGUCCCAUCGCUCGCUUCUUGGCAAGUGAAUAACUUUCUCCAGUCUUCUUUUGUGCAUUGCAAAGUGCCUAGGGACACAUAUGCAAAUUAACUCUCAGCAUCAGCCUGAGAACCUGAGGGGGAAUGUGUCUCAGACUUCCCCAAUCUCUAGAUCAUUGACAUGUCUGCUGGGUAGUUUCGCACUGUAGAAACUGUCCCAUGCUUCAAAGGUCAGUGGCACCCUGGUUCUGCCUUCUGGAAGCCCAUAGUACCUUCUGUACCGCCUGUGACAAUUGAAAAAUUGUCUCCAGAUUUUGCCAACCAGUCCCUGGAGGCAAAGUCUUUCCAGAAUAAGUGAACCAUUGGGUAACCUGAACCGAGGUAGCAGCUGUGUUGCCUUCCAGACAGAAGAUAAAACAACUUUUCAGCACAGACCCUGCUGCGGGUUCCUGUUGUCGCUCACUCCUCCUGUAACCCAAGGGUGUUUCCCGAGCAUACAGCUAACCUUACCAGGCACAGUGGAAGAGCCAGGGAACUCCAAGAUGUGUUUCCUUUCCCAAGAAGCUCACAGUUACUCUGGGGAGACAGGACUGAGCUCUUCGGCAGAAGCAACUGAGACAGCCAUGAGCCAUGAGUCUUGCUGUGUUGAAGGUGAAGACCUCCCCAGAGCAAAGGAGCAGUGGAGCAGCAAGGGAAGGGAUCAGAAGCCACUGAGUCCAGACAAGAGGACCAAGGAGACAAGGCUGAGUCAGGCAGGUGUCAGGAAGGCAGUGCUGUGGACAUCUUCAGGGGUUGGCACUGUAGAUUCAGGGCUGAGCUGGGAAAUGAAGGACAGGUAGGCACUGCCAGUGGCAGGGGCAAAAGCUUGAAGGCUGGACAGAUGGCCUGGGGUGCAAGGGGAGGCUCUCUGACUCAUACCAAGGGACUGAGAUGAUCGUGCUGUGAGUCUUCAAGGGCUGAGUAAAGUGUAGAGGAGGAGGCAGCAGGGUUAAGGCAUUCCUAGGGCUCAUGACCUCCCAUCACAAAUGCAGCAAACUACCAAGACCAAUCAGUCCUGUGCUCAGAGCUGCAGGGUCCAUUGAGCCCUUUGCCUGCCUCCUGGAAGCUGUCACAGGGAGCUAUGACUCAGGGCUUAUCUCUCUCCCAGGUGAGUCACACAUCUGCAAUCUUCUUGCAGUAGGAAUGGCUGCCUGAACUGUCACCUGUGGCCAGCUCAGUCCCCUCAAAACGCCAGGCUCCACCCCUGCUUCCUGGGACACCUGAUCACGCCAGGGCAUCACUCCUUGCUCCCUUGGCAUUUCACACAGUACCAAGGUGUCUCCUCCGCAUGACACCUUACACAUGUCACAUGGCCUGUUGGAUAAUCUGAGCAGUCCCAGUUUCACCUGCCAUAGAGUCCAGAGAUGGGACAUGGUUUCAUGUCUCUCUCCUCCCUCUUUAUACCUGUUCUGAGGAGCUACCACAGUAGUGAUUUCCCCAGGGGAGCAGUAUGAAACAGCCACCUCCUCAGGUCUGGUACCCAUGAGCUGACAGAGAAGCAGGUGGCAGGAUGUGAUCUCCUAGCUGCCAGCAGCCUAAUACUGCUAUUCAGGGACAGGCACUCCAUCACCUCUUUCCUGAUAUCUUGGAGGACAUGCUAAUAUACAUUUGAGAGGUCUGGGUUGACCAGUAGUCCCUGCCUAUGGGUCCUGUAUGGCAAGACAAAGGCUACCCUUAGUAAAGGGUAAAGAGAGUGGAGGACAACCUCAAGCCAACCAAAAGGGAAAACAUAUUAGAAGCAUUGAGGCCCUGAGGACUGUGGAGUAGUGGGACAGUCUCCUGAGUGGUGACAAUGCAUCUACACUCUCUAGUGGGCCAGGCAGUUCCAGGACUGUCCUCUGCUUAUCUAGACUGCUAGUCCCUGACACUGUCUGGAAUCGUUGCUUACCUCAAGCCUACACUUGGCUAUGCUCUGUGAGGAAGCACGUCAGAGCUCUGGAAAGUCAACUUCUUUAACCAGUCGGGAUGGAAAGGGCAGGCGAUGCCACCAUUGCCACUGGCAAGGGAUUGAAAGCCCAAGUCCAUGCUCAGGACUUCCACAGAUGCCUGGAAGCUCGUAUCCUACGUACAAGGACCACAGCAACCGCAUGGCUGUUAUGGAAGUAUACCACCCUGGUCUGAGAGUAUUUUUGUAAUUUGCAGUGGUGCCCAUUCAGUCAGCCCCAGUGAGCACAAGAGCCUGACUUGUCACAGAUGCCAAGCUUGCCACCAGCUCUCUCGGUGUCUUCAUGCCCUUUCCUGAGAGCAGACACAGGCAUCAUAGACCUCUUAGAUGCAUCAGCUUACUCUGGGUCUCAUUCAGUACCAUCUAUCCUAACAGGUUGAAGAGUCUUGGUGCCAAGGAAUGUGUCCUGGGGAGCCUAUAACCCCUCCCAUACUACGAGUCCCGAGUCUCAUACCUGGAGCCUGGAAAGCCCUGUUUAGACAAACAGAACCCUAGACAAUGCCUACCGCAGAUGGGAUCACAGAAUGUCUAGUCUGUACACUCAUGGCACCCCACUCUUGUCUUUUCCAUAUCUUCAUCCAUGGAAUGAUGGGGUGCAUCUGGGAGGAACUGGCAAAGCUUGAAUGUUCAGGCCUUGUAUUAUUUUCUAUGACAACAUAGGAGAAAACAGAAAGGGUGAUCAGGAACAUACUUUGUCCUCUCUGCCUAGGCUCCUUGGGUGACAGGCAGUCUAAACCCCCAUCUAGAAAGACUAGCAAGUUUUCCUGGUCACCAAUGGUAGCUAGCCACAGUGCUGAGAGCAGAGAAUGCAAAGAUAUUACCAAGGGCCGAGACUUAAUUGAAAGGGCAGCUUCGCCAGGGUUCUUUCCUUAGGAGAUGAAAGAAAUCCCACGCCCUUUGUGUGUGCUUCCCAAGCCCUGCCCAUCAGGCAAAGAACAAUGGCUCUGUCUUGCCCUCCUGAGGGCCCAUUACAGCUGUCUUCUCCUGCCCACAUACCUUCCCCUACUUCAUCUCAGAUGUCACCCAGUGGUGGCCUUCCUAAAUCCUGUGAUCUCAAUACACUUUCGUGGCUGCCCCUAUGUGGCCUAGGGAGAGGGCAGAUAUUCUUCUUAGUGGCCAUCUGCUCUCACUUCUCUAUUCUCUUCACCUCCCUCUGUUCCUUGUCCCUCGGGUGCCUGUGCUCUGCCGACACUCCCUGUCCCUGUCUAGUCCUCUCCCAGAUCAUAUGGGCCUAACCUGUUGGCUCCCAUGAGGCUCAGGAGUGCU